Molecule: ribosomal RNA, 305 nt
Filed under: uncultured bacterium
Lineage: Bacteria
Description: bacterial SSU rRNA
Rfam family: Bacterial small subunit ribosomal RNA
Source: RNAcentral
UGGGCCUACGGGACGCAGCAGUGAGGAAUAUUGGUCAAUGGCCGGAAGGCUGAACCAGCCAAGUCGCGUGAGGGAUGAAGGUACAGAGUAUCGUAAACCUCUUUUGUCAGGGAACAAAGGCGGGGACGUGUCCCCGGAUGAGUGUACCUGAAGAAAAAGCAUCGGCUAACUCCGUGCCAGCAGCCGCGGUAAUACGGAGGAUGCGAGCGUUAUCCGGAUUUAUUGGGUUUAAAGGGUGCGCAGGCGGUCUGUUAAGUCAGCGGUCAAAGCCCGGGGCUCAACCCCGGCCCGCCGUUGAAACUGGG